This 91-nucleotide transfer RNA is filed under the name Alkalilimnicola sp. S0819. RNAcentral's name for it is "tRNA-Ser". It matches the Rfam family "tRNA". Rfam says of the family: Transfer RNA (tRNA) molecules are approximately 80 nucleotides in length. Their secondary structure includes four short double-helical elements and three loops (D, anti-codon, and T loops). Lineage: Bacteria; Pseudomonadati; Pseudomonadota; Gammaproteobacteria; Chromatiales; Ectothiorhodospiraceae. The record is from RNAcentral. RNAcentral also lists the same sequence under 1 other name.
GGAGAGGUGGCUGAGUGGUCGAAAGCGGCGGUCUCGAAAACCGUUGUCCGGUACUCCCGGACCGGGGGUUCGAAUCCCCCCCUCUCCGCCA